AGUGAACGCUGGCGGUAGGCCUAACACAUGCAAGUCGAACGGCAGCACAGUAAGAGCUUGCUCUUACGGGUGGCGAGUGGCGGACGGGUGAGGAAUACAUCGGAAUCUACUUUUUCGUGGGGAAUAACGUAGGGAAACUUACGCUAAUACCGCAUACGACCUUCGGGUGAAAGCAGGGGAUCUUCGGACCUUGCGCGAUUGAAUGAGCCGAUGUCGGAUUAGCUAGUUGGCGGGGUAAAGGCCCACCAAGGCGACGAUCCGUAGCUGGUCUGAGAGGAUGAUCAGCCACACUGGAACUGAGACACGGUCCAGACUCCUACGGGAGGCAGCAGUGGGGAAUAUUGGACAAUGGGCGCAAGCCUGAUCCAGCCAUACCGCGUGGGUGAAGAAGGCCUUCGGGUUGUAAAGCCCUUUUGUUGGGAAAGAAAAGCAGCAGGUUAAUACCCCGCUGUUCUGACGGUACCCAAAGAAUAAGCACCGGCUAACUUCGUG
This 492-nucleotide ribosomal RNA is filed under the name uncultured bacterium. RNAcentral's name for it is "partial 16S ribosomal RNA". It matches the Rfam family "Bacterial small subunit ribosomal RNA", at positions 29 to 507 of the family's 1533-position model. The record is from RNAcentral.